This 460-nucleotide ribosomal RNA is filed under the name uncultured bacterium. Its description in RNAcentral is "partial 16S ribosomal RNA". It matches the Rfam family "Bacterial small subunit ribosomal RNA", at positions 338 to 795 of the family's 1533-position model. The record is from RNAcentral.
CCUACGGGAGGCAGCAGUGAGGAAUAUUGGUCAAUGGGCUUACGCCUGAACCAGCCAAGUCGCGUGAGGGAAGCCUGCCCUAUGGGUUGUAAACCUCUUUUGUCAGGGAGCAAUUGGAGCUACGUGUAGAGUUAUCGAGAGUAGCUGAAGAAAAAGCAUCGGCGAACUCCGUGCCAGCAGCCGCGGUACUACGGAGGAUGGGAGCGAUAUCUGGAUUUAUUGGGUGUAAAGGGUGCGUAGGCGGAAUGCCAAGUCAGCGGUAAAAGCGCGGGGCUCAACCUCGCUCCGCCUUUGAUACUGGCGUUCUUGAGUGGGCGAGAGGUAUGCGGAAUUCGGGGUGUAGCGGUGAAAUGCAUAGAUAUCACGCAGAACUCCGAUUGCGAAGGCAGCAUACUGGCUCCCAACUGACGCUGACGCACGAAAGCGUGGGUAUCGAACAGGAUUAGAUACCCGAGUAGUC